RNAcentral lists this ribosomal RNA (253 nucleotides) under uncultured bacterium. Its description in RNAcentral is "partial 16S ribosomal RNA". It matches the Rfam family "Bacterial small subunit ribosomal RNA", at positions 524 to 776 of the family's 1533-position model. The record is from RNAcentral.
UACGAGGGGGGCAAGCGUUGUUCGGAAUUAUUGGGCGUAAAGGGUGCGUAGGUGGUUCGGCAAGUCUUGUGUGAAAUCUUCAGGCUCAACUUGAAGUCUGCACAAGAAACUGCCGGGCUUGAGUAUGGUAGAGGUUGGUGGAACUGCGAGUGUAGAGGUGAAAUUCGUAGAUAUUCGCAAGAACACCGGUGGCGAAGGCGGCCAACUGGACCAUUACUGACGCUGAGGCGCGAAAGCGUGGGGAGCAAACAGG